This 49-nucleotide transfer RNA is filed under the name Dysdera cf. inermis MAA-2007. Its description in RNAcentral is "tRNA-Leu". The record is from RNAcentral. Lineage: Eukaryota; Metazoa; Arthropoda; Arachnida; Araneae; Dysderidae.
UCAAUAUUGGCAGACCAAUGCAAAAGACUUAGAAUCUUUCUACUCUCUU